RNAcentral lists this long non-coding RNA (361 nucleotides) under Physcomitrium patens. RNAcentral's name for it is "long non-coding RNA (PPAT_LNC008212)". Lineage: Eukaryota; Viridiplantae; Streptophyta; Bryopsida; Funariales; Funariaceae. The record is from RNAcentral.
AAUUUUUAAUUCUAUUUUCUCUAUUAGUCUAUAUUUAUAAUAUAAUUUUUUUUAUUAUACCCUUUCCAUGCAUAUUAUUGCAAAACGUACAACAUAUGUCCAAAAAAUGAUCUUCUCUUUAACUUUUAAGGUAUCAAAUCUUAUUUUAAAAAAAAAUCAUAGCUUAUGAUUUGUAUCUUUUUUAUCUCUAAUUGAAUCUCUUUCUUUCUUUAACUUUUGCAAAGUUCUUUUCUAACAUCUUAAUCUCUUUUGUCCUCGUGAAAAUAAGCCCACAACUUUUAAAUUUAGGUAUAUUCAACUAUAAGAUCUUACAAUCUACUUAUCAACCUCUAUAAGUUUUUUAGACAAUGUAUCAUCACCC